This 497-nucleotide ribosomal RNA is filed under the name uncultured bacterium. RNAcentral's name for it is "partial 16S ribosomal RNA". It matches the Rfam family "Bacterial small subunit ribosomal RNA", at positions 28 to 507 of the family's 1533-position model. The record is from RNAcentral.
GACGAACGCUGGCGGCGUGCCUAAUACAUGCAAGUUGAGCGAUGAAGAUUGGUGCUUGCACCAAUUUGAAGAGCAGCGAACGGGUGAGUAACGCGUGGGGAAUCUGCCUUUGAGCGGGGGACAACAUUUGGAAACGAAUGCUAAUACCGCAUAACAACUUUAACCAUAAGUUUUAAGUUUGAAAGAUGCAAUUGCAUCACUCAAAGAUGAUCCCGCGUUGUAUUAGCUAGUUGGUGAGGUAAAGGCUCACCAAGGCGAUGAUACAUAGCCGACCUGAGAGGGGGAUCGGCCACAUUGGGACUGAGACAAGGCCCAAAACCCUAAGGGAGGCAGCAGGAGGGAAUCUUCGGCAAUGGACGAAAGGCUGAACGAGGAAAGCCGCGUGAGGGAAGAAGGGUUUCGGAUCGUAAAACUCCGUUGGUAGAGAAGAAAGUUGGGGAGAGUGGAAAGCGCAUCAAGUGACGGUAACUACACAGAAAGGGACGGCUAACUACGUG